RNAcentral lists this ribosomal RNA (457 nucleotides) under uncultured bacterium. RNAcentral's name for it is "partial 16S ribosomal RNA". It matches the Rfam family "Bacterial small subunit ribosomal RNA", at positions 356 to 803 of the family's 1533-position model. The record is from RNAcentral.
UGGGAAUUUUGGACAAUGGGCGCAAGCCUGAUCCAGCCAUGCCGCGUGCGGGAAGAAGGCCUUCGGGUUGUAAACCGCUUUUGUCAGGGAAGAAAUCUUCUGAGUUAAUACCUCGGGAGGAUGACGGUACCUGAAGAAUAAGCACCGGCUAACUACGUGCCAGCAGCCGCGGUAAUACGUAGGGUGCAAGCGUUAAUCGGAAUUACUGGGCGUAAAGCGUGCGCAGGCGGUUUUGUAAGACAGAGGUGAAAUCCCCGGGCUCAACCUGGGAACUGCCUUUGUGACUGCAAGGCUUGAGUGCGGCAGAGGGGGAUGGAAUUCCGCGUGUAGCAGUGAAAUGCGUAGAUAUGCGGAGGAACACCGAUGGCGAAGGCAAUCCCCCUGGGCCUGCACUGACGCUCAUGCACGAAAGCGUGGGGAGCAAAACAGGAUUAGAUACCCUGGUAGUCCACGCCCU